Lepisosteus oculatus (spotted gar) is the source of this 1589-nucleotide long non-coding RNA. The record is from Ensembl. Lineage: Eukaryota; Metazoa; Chordata; Actinopteri; Semionotiformes; Lepisosteidae.
GUUCACAAUGAAGCGCUCCACACUACUCAUCACUCUGAUUGCAUGCAGUGUAGCAGGGAUGUUUGUGAAUUUGAGUUUGGCACAAAAUAGUAAUACCUUGCUAUCCAAGACUGAUGUGACAAAUUAUUUUGCAAGUAAUACAGGUAAGUAUAAAUUUGCUUCCUUUUUCGUUUGUGCUCAAAGUUGAAAGGUUUUCUUCAGUAUUCCAUAAAACACUGUGACUCCCCUGGAACUUUGAAAAUAGGCCUACAAAGAGCCUACAAAAGACAUAACCAAAUACCUAACUCAUUUUUGUGCUACUAUCUAGACUUCUUCGUGCCUAACUAAUAUACUGGGCUGCUAUGCCGCUUACCAGCUUCAAAACGCACAGUCUCUUUGAGACUCUCCAUAAAAAAGUAGAUUUGAAAGAGUUUCAAAACUCACAAGUUCCUUAGUUCCACAUGUCCGGGGUUUGUCUUUCUCCCCCUGGUGAAUGGAGCACACAGAGGAUCUGCCUUGGUUCCUCCAGACAGCAGAUCAACCAACCCUGGAAGCCUUUUCUUUCUGUUUUUUUAAACUUCCAGAAACUGGUCAGGGGAUUUAGGGCAGAAACUGAUUCCCCACAGCUUUAUGGGGAAUGUGGACCAGAAAAGGCCUGCCAUUUAGUCUGAAAAUGCUACCUAUCAAUAAAAUAAGGCAAAAGAAAAUGAAAAGGGUAGUAAACAUCCUAGUUAAUCGAAUCAAAUCUGCAUUUUCACAACUAAACCUUUCCUCCUCAAUCAUACACUCUUAUUUUAAAAAUGUCAUUUUGAGAAUGUUGAGCUUUUUUCAAACUCAAGCUUUAAACAGAAUGAAUGGUUUCCGUUACAGUACAGGAUGCACCGCUAAUGAUCAAUGUAUUUUGAACCCAAGGAUUGUUAUACUCAACUUGUUUCAAUUCUUAUUCACUUGUCCAGGUCUGAAGACUGAAGAUGGUUUUCCUUCAUGGUUACAGCCAGCAGUAAUUGUAUUAUGGGUUCUGAAUUUGGUUUACAUUUUUCUUUUUCUUUUUUUUCUUUGGCUUUUCUGCAGAAGACGAGGGCAUGAAGAAGAGGGGAGAGAGGUUGGUGUUUCAGCUUCUCUAGAGAGAAGACUAGCAGUAAUUGGAGAACAAAUCACACAGCUGCAUGAUGACAACAGUAAGUACUGUACUAUUUGCAGAAAUGUAGUAGCCUUAACGGGAUAAAAUAUGUAACCCGAUAAAUGAAUAGCCAACAUCUGAAUGAGAAAUUGUACAGUAUUAGCUGUUAGUUUACUUAAAUCUGUCUUUUCGGUUUGUAAGUGUAAUAAUCAGGAAUUAUAGAGGUACAGUAUGUGGAGUUAAGUGAUGGGUCAGAAAUAUUUCACAAAUCUAAACCUAAAUUGCUGGACAUUGGUCCCUUUGUUUGUUUCUAUAUGCAUAUGAGAAUAGAUGGAUAUGUUCAUUAUUGUUCUUGGUACCCUGGGACCUUGAGCAGAAAUAUAUUCAACUUUCUGUUUCUAUCAGUGGACCUGAAGCCUUAAGUUCUGGCCAGAGGUAUUGUUUCUUUGUUGAUGUGAAUAGAUCUUAUACACCUUAUUGUAUUCUUUUU